RNAcentral lists this transfer-messenger RNA (397 nucleotides) under Bacteroidaceae. RNAcentral describes it as "Bacteroides_H sp010500995 Standard tmRNA". It matches the Rfam family "transfer-messenger RNA". From Rfam's summary of the family: Bacterial tmRNA, also known as 10Sa RNA or SsrA, is named for its dual tRNA and mRNA-like properties. Its role is to liberate the mRNA from a stalled ribosome. To accomplish this part of the tmRNA is used as a reading frame that ends in a translation stop signal. Lineage: Bacteria; Pseudomonadati; Bacteroidota; Bacteroidia; Bacteroidales. The record is from RNAcentral. RNAcentral also lists the same sequence under 1 other name.
GGGCUAGACUGGAUUUGACAGCGGGUAGAAAUGGUAUGUAAGCAUGCAGUGCGUCAGUGAUUGGCACUUUAAUCUCAGUUACUAAAAUUUUAUCUGGCGAAAAUAACUACGCUCUUGCUGCUUAAUCGAAUCACAGUAGAUUAACUUAAUCCCGAUACAAGGUGUUGGGACGAGACAUCACUCGGAAGCUCUGGCUUCGAAGUAUUCCGGCUCAGUGGUGCAGUUAAAUCGGAGAUAGUUUGCAAUGGCCUCGAAUUGCAAAUGAAACUUUAGAGGAUAAGGUAUAAGUUGAUGGCUUUGGUUCUGCUUAUACACGAAAAUUUAGACAAAGAUAAGCAUGUAGAAAGCUUAUGGUUUCCUCGUUUGGACGAGGGUUCGAUUCCCUCCUGGUCCACAA